Molecule: ribosomal RNA, 496 nt
Filed under: uncultured bacterium
Lineage: Bacteria
Description: partial 16S ribosomal RNA
Rfam family: Bacterial small subunit ribosomal RNA
Source: RNAcentral
GAUGAACGCUGGCGGCGUGCCUAAUACAUGCAAGUCGAGCGAACAGACGAGGAGCUUGCUCCUCUGACGUUAGCGGCGGACGGGUGAGUAACACGUGGAUAACCUACCUAUAAGACUGGGAUAACUUCGGGAAACCGGAGCUAAUACCGGAUAAUAUAUUGAACCGCAUGGUUCAAUAGUGAAAGACGGUUUUGCUGUCACUUAUAGAUGGAUCCGCGCCGCAUUAGCUAGUUGGUAAGGUAACGGCUUACCAAGGCAACGAUGCGUAGCCGACCUGAGAGGGUGAUCGGCCACACUGGAACUGAGACACGGUCCAGACUCCUACGGGAGGCAGCAGUAGGGAAUCUUCCGCAAUGGGCGAAAGCCUGACGGAGCAACGCCGCGUGAGUGAUGAAGGUCUUCGGAUCGUAAAACUCUGUUAUUAGGGAAGAACAAAUGUGUAAGUAACUAUGCACGUCUUGACGGUACUUAAUCAGAAGGCCACGGCUAACUACGU